UAUAAAAAUAUAUAUUUUAUAACAAUAUAUAAAAUAUAUAUUAUUAAAAUAUGUAUAUUAUAUAUAAAAUAUAUAUUUUACUGUGCUAUCACUGAUCUCAGCCCUUCCUUUAACUGACCCCUUCCCUAGCCUCGUAGAUGAGAGUCCAGCCUGCCUUAUGGAUCCCUGAAUUUGCUCACUGUCACUGCUGGGAACAUCCAGGCAGGAUCCAGUCCCACUCAUAGGAGAGGAAGGCAAAGGGCACUGUCCCUCUAGCCCCUCCCCUCCCCUCCCGCAGGACAGAUCCUCCUGCCUUACUCCAUCUGCAGAUGCUGGCAAAGCCGGUUCCAGACCUCUGAGGCAGGGAAACAGAAUCCAUUUAAGGGACUUGUGGGAAAGUGGCCUCAUUUUACAAGCAAUUGGGUUGUGAAUCGAAGCGGGCAUUAAAGUUUACAAGCUACACUGGCGAAGGAGCCAGCAGACCUUGCAGCUACUGCCUGUUAGGAGGCAUCUUCCCCAGUUACUCAACAGUUGUGUGGAGUGUGUGAGAAGCCAGCACAGAUCCUGCCCUCCACACCUGCUGGUGGAAGAAAUGCCCAUUGUCUUCUUAAAACCGAGGAGGGGCUGUGGGAGGGCACAGGAUCACCUGUCUCCUGACAGGCUUUCCCCUUCUCUAGCGUUAUGCAAGAAUCUGGGAGGUUUUAGGUGAUGCCGAGAAAAUGGGGAAAGAAAUACAUUCAGAGACCUCUGCUCACAGCUGGGAUCCCCACGCAGCUGAGACAUCUCCAGGAAAUCACUUGGGUUCAAUGGCGGAACUUACCACUUCAAGCUGUCACCUGGUGGGAGAGGGUGGUGGCCGGAAGUAACAAGUUCUCCCGAAUGGAUCCAAGCAAAGAGGAGGCCUCCUCAUUUCCUUCUCAGCCAAGCCCACUAGGGCCCUGGAAGACAGAGAUUGCUAGGACACCCAGGGUCUACUUGGGCUGAGCUCCCCAGACCUGGUGCAAGGAAGCCAGGCAUUCCUACCAAGGCUCUGUCACUUACCCAGCAGGACUCAUGAGCUCAGCACCUUUCUGGACUUGAGGAGAUGGCUCUGUUUUUGCCCUUUUCCCUCCAUGCUUCCUCCUGUCUCUGCCUCCCCACUGACAGCUGCCUCUGCCAUCCCCCAGGACAUCCCACUCUCUUCUCAAAGGCUCAGGCCUGAGAGGUUGCUGGUGGGCAGAUUCCAUCUCAUGGUUGAGCUGUUUGGUCUCAAUGGCAUUCUCUCUCUCUCUCUCUCUCUUCCCCUUUUUUUUUCCCCAAAUUGAGCCAUCUUCUUUCCAUUGAGGUUUUCAUAUAAAAAAGCAAGUUGCUGGGUUCUCUUUAAAAGUAGGGCAAUCUGGCAAUUCUGGGCUUGUGUAGAAACAAUUAGAUAGAGCUAAAAACAGAGGCUUUUGACAAAGCCUGAGCUCCCAAUAGCCAAAGGACUUUUCACCCCUUUAAAAAAGAACCCUUCCUGUGCUCAUUUAUAUCAACUCCUGCCCUUGCAGACAUGUAUUGUAGGUUUUAACUAGAAACAAGAGGAUUAGCUUUAUUUAAACAGCAAAACUGCUUAAAUGAGAUAAUAUGUGUAUUUGGAAUGGUGCCUGGCACCUAACCUAAUCCUUAGUUAAUAUUUAUUGUGCAAAUUAUCUCGAUUAUUAAAAAGACAGGCCAACUGACAUAACAAGAAUACUAACUCAGAGCUGGCACUUGAGGGCUCAGUAGAAUAUUCCUGGCUUGGAGGGGGGGCUAUGAUAUGAGCCCAUAUAAUCAGAGAAGUUCAAAUGGGACAUGAGAACCACCUGGUAGCCUAAAUCCAGAGAAACAAAAAUCAGACUCAGGCUCUAAAGCUGGCAAAUGUUCAUUUUUGGAAAUUAGAAAGUGAUGGUGUGUUAUCCCAAGAAACCCCUGGGACAACAUGCAGUGAGCAUCCAUUCACAGAGACCACCUUGAACCAGGCUCUUUCCCUACGUUUUGUUAUUAUAGCCUCACUACAACCUUGUGAGGUGGAAAUUAAUAUCCCCAUUUUACAGAUGGAUAAACUAUCUAGUGAGGGUGACAUAUUAUUGCAAUAACCACAAGAAUAAAUAUAAAUGAGAUAAAUUCUCUCUGAAGGAAAGGAACGGGGAUUUACAAUGGUAUAAAACAAAGAAAAUGGGCCUGGUCUAAGUGAUGAGGGAGUGUUUCUUUAAAGAACUGAUAUUUGAGCUGAGAUCUGAAGGAUUAAAAGAGUGUUACAUUGGAGAAGAUUGGGCAGGAGGGAAAUACUCUCCAUGGCCCUCAAUCCCAGAUGCACAACUUGAACCACUUGAGGUUCACACACACAAGGAGAGUAUCAUGACCUGGUACAGUCUCAGUCUAAUUAAUCAGUAGAACCCAGGUACCAGUGUUUUUAUUUUUAUUUAUUUAUUUAUUUAUUUUGAGACAGACUAUUGCUCUGUGGCCCAGGUUGGAGUGCAGUGGUGUGAUCUCAGCUCACUGCAACCUCCUCCUCCUGGGUUCAAGUGAUUCUUCUGCCCUGGCCUCCUGAGUAGCUGGGAUUACAGCCACCACCAUCACAUCUGGCUAAUUUUCAUAUUUUCAGUAGAGGCGGGUUUCGUGUUGUUGGCCAGGCUGGUCUCAAACCCCUGAUCUCAGAUGAUCCACCCACCUUGGCCCCAUAAAGUGCUGGGAUUACAAACGUGAGCCACCACGGCCUGCUGGUACCAAUGGUUUUAAUAGCUUCAUGGUUGAACCACUGAAAUGAAACAAAAAGUAAAUCCAGAGCUCACACACUCUAGCAAAACAAUAGCCAUUAAUAGCUAUUGAGUAAAUAAAGUAGAUGCUCAGUAAUCAUGAGCACGUAGCUCAUCAGCAUCCUUGUCAUCACCACUGCCUCUGCCUCCUCAAGAUCAUUUGGUAGCCUAAGUCCAAUGUCAAAGGAAUAAAGAAAACCUGCCUCUGCUGAGGGCUUGCACUAUGCUAAAGUCUUCACUUUGUUUCAUUUAACCUUUACCAAAACCCUUAUUAUUUUACAGAUAAGGACACUAGGCUUAGAACAAGGCACCAAUUUGCCCAGGAUUUCACAGCUCAUCUGGGCAGCAGGGGACCGUCUUUCAGGCCCACCUGGCUAUAGAGACCAUACCCUUUCCCGGUCUCCAUGCACAGCAGCUUCCUGCUCACUUUAGCUCCGAUUUCCCAGCCUGAAUGCCUUGAUUGGGCUGCAUUGCUUUGGCCUGGCCACAAAAAGAGUUUUGAAGAUUUGUGCCCACUUUUCUUACUACGGUUAAGAAAAAGGACCAAAGUUGAACCAAGCUCUCUAGGUUCAAAUCCUACUUACUGGCUGUGGGACCCUAAACUAUUUGUGGAACUUCUUUGAGCCUCAAUUUUUUGUUUUCUGUAACAUGAGAAUACUAUCCAUACCUCUCUCGUAAGUUUCUUAUGAAGAUUAAGUAUAUAUGUGUUAAGAUUCGUAUUGACAACUAUGCAUGUAUGCAUAUACAUACAAGGUUGAGUAUGUAUAUAACACACAUUUAGAAUAGCGCAUGAAAUAUAGUCAGUGUUCAGUUAAUGACAAGUACUGUUAAUAUUAUCCCAUGGGCUGGAGUGAGAGGGCCACUGGGGUUUUGCUUUCCAGUCCCUAAUCCGGUGGCAUCCUGGAUAGGGUAUCAUCAUACCCCUCCUAGGAGAACAGGAUAGGGAACUGUAAGAGUACUCAGGUAGAAGGUGGGAUGUGCACCAGGGAAGCUCAGGAGGAAGCUGCUGCCUUUCCUGGUCCCUGAAGACCAGGAGCAGCAGCCAGGGACUUGGGUUGACAGGGAAGUGCAGGGAGUGGUUGAGGGGUGAGAUGAUUAUCAAACCUCCUCUAAAAACAAGCUGGGGCUUGGCGCGGUGGUGGCUCAUGCCUGUAAUCCCAGCACUUUGGGAGCCUGAAGCACGUGAAUCAGCUGAGGUUAGGAGUUCCAGACCAGCCUGGCUAAUAUGGUCUCUACCAAAAAUACAAAAAUUAGACAGGCCGGUGGCUCACGCCUGUAAUCCCAGCACUUUGGGAGGCCGAAGCGGGUGGAUCAUGAGGUCAAGAGAUCGAGACCAUCUUGGUCAACAUGGUGCGACCCCGUCUCUACUAAAGAUACAAAAAAUUAGCUGGGCACGGUGGCGCGUGCGUGUAAUCUCAGCUACUCGGGAGGCUGAGGCAGGAGAAUUGCCUGAACCCAGGAGGCGGAGGUUGCGGUGAGCCGAGAUUGCGCCAUUGCACUCCAGCCUGGGUCACAAGAGCGAAACUCUGUCUCAAAAAAAAAAAAAUUAGACAGGCAUGGUGGAGCAAGUCUGUAAUCCCAGCUACUCAGGAGGCUGAGGCAGGAGAAUCACUUGAAACCUGGAGAAGGUUGCAGUGAGCCAAGAUGGCACCACGGCACUCCAGCCUGGGGGACAGAGACUCCAUCUCAAUAAAUAAAAUACAGGAUGGAAGGGAGUGCCCAGCUCUCAGUCAGCUGCCGGUCCACGGCCUUGGACACCACUGAUAUGGACCUGUCUGGGCUGGAGCAGAAGGGGGCCAGCGUAAUGUCUUCAGAAAAUUCCCUGCAACCCCCACCCGCCUGGUGGCCUGUCCUGAGGCCGGCCCAGCCCAUGGAGCCAGCCCCGGCCAGCUGCAGCCAGUACCAUUGAUGACCAGCAGAGGGCAGCACAGGCCACAGGCUGGCUUUUUGUUGGUGAAAUUUUGCUACGAUGUGUGUAGCCUCUUGGGUUUGGUGUCUCCCUGUUCUUCCUCUGCAGGCAGAGGGAAGUCCUGGAUAUGAUCACAGGCACUCUGCCUCAUCCUCAUCCCCAAAUUCUGAGGUCUUUCUGAACUGUGUUAGCAUAUUUCAGAGCUUCACUGCAAACCAGAAACGGGACUUUGAACUCACAUUCCAGAGCAGAGAGCCCCAGGGCAUGUAGGUGCAGACAGCACACUUCCAAACCUCCGCAUCUGGAGAGCAGGACUGGAAGGGACGGUUUUGGGGCUUGUUUGCAAGUUCACCGGGGGCCAGGUGAGCUAUCUGUCCUUGCCAUUCUCUCCCAGGAGGAGGAAGUGUGAGACGAUGCUGAAGGUGCGGGCUCUGGAAGGGGACGGGGCUGUGCUUAAGCCUGCCUCGUUACAGGAUUAUGGACAAGCCUUCGCUAACUUCUGUGGAGUAGUGGAUAAAAUCCGUACCCCACGUGGUCAUAAGAGAACUAAGUGAAGGACCGCAUGCACAGAGCCCAGCAAGGUGCCCAGGAAACAAAGCAAUCGUUUUUCAGGUUACAUCUUGGGGAGACCACCCAGAGGACCUUUUUUCAAGGACCAGUACCGAGAAUUUCUCUCCCUUUCCUACAUCACUUGCUUUCACGCACAGGGAGGCCAGCACUGCCUGAGCCAGGCCACCCCUUUCUUAAGCCAGGGCCUGGAAACUGCUGUAGGGGUGCUCCCUUGAUCUCCAUCGGACACUCCCAUGCCUGCCCACUGACCUCAUAGCCAUUCAUUGGCCAAGACCCUGCCCUCAUCCCAAUCUUUUGUAAAGUACGCAUGCAUCUUCAUGCCACCCUACAGGACUGUGGAGCAGGUGCAGGGAUGAGUGUCUACCUUUUCACAAGCUCUCCAGGGGGUUCUGAAGUCCAUGGAAUCAAACAGCCACCACUCUAGGCAAUGAGAUGGGGAAAUAGUAUUCUAAAACAAUUAAUGCGGGCCCAUGAAGGGGACAGGAGAGCUAUUAUGCAAAUUCUGGCUAUUCGAGGUUAUUCAUAUGCAGGAGAGAACGUAGAUGCUGGAUAAAGGAUGCCCACAAUAUUAGGCAGUCAGGAGGCUGCCUGGCAGGGCCUGUUUCUGCUCAGCCUGGUGAACAGAAAGGUCUCAGGGAUAACUUUAGAGAAUGACAGAACUCUUGCUGGGUCAAAGGGCACAGUUGCCAAGGCUGAGGCCAGAACUAGGAAGAUCCACCCAUCUGGCUCAGUGGUUCUCAAUCUUGGGUCAGCACUGGAAUCCAGGAGAGCUCACGGAAACCUCGAGAGCUGCUGGCUCCACCCCCAGAGCUGACCUUAGUAAAUCUGAGAUGAGGCCAGAGAAACUGCAUUUCAACAAGUUGCCAGGUGUUGCAGUGUGUGUGCGUGCAUGCAUGCAUGCGUGCCUCUGUGUGUUCCCGUUUUCUGCUUUCUGCAGUGUUUCAGCUCAGACUUCCUGACGGGGGGCCCAUUCUUGGUCAGAGGCCCAGUCUAAACCUAGAAUAGCAAUAUAUGCUCAGGUCUUUGGAGCACGCAGCCUUCUCAAAGCCAUUGUUUCCAGGUUCCAUAAAAGCCACAUAAGCUGGUUUUAAAAGUGCAGCUAGGAGAAAAUAUUUCCUUCCUCAUCCAUUGCUAGGUUCAUGGCUGAGGCACCUGCAAUAAAAGACAGAUUCACAAGAGAAAAGCAUACCAAGUAAUUUAAGUUGUGUAUGAUGUGGCAGCCUUUAGAAAUGAAGACCCAAAGAAACAGGGAAAUCUGUGUGAUUUUUUUUGCUAAGUCUGGUGAAGAAGCAGGUAACUGUGGAGAAUUAUAACUGGACAAGGGGGUUUGAUUUGAUGUGAUAAUCUAGGUGUCAUUUAGAAGGGCUGUUUGUUCAGAUUCUUCUCUGCCUCCCUGAAUCUUCAUAGAGAAGGAUUUUCCUGUCCUGUGGGUCUAGGUAAGUCACCUCUUAAAUGAGGGUCUCAUGCCCCACUUGAGAAGAAGGACAGGAAAUUCUUUUAUGGCCUGCUUCAGGGGAGAAGGGCAGGAGAAGGUUGGAGAGUGACCUUCCCGCUUUUGCGAUUUUCUCAAAUGCCAAGAUGGCAGAUCUGGGAUUGUGUGUCCAGAACUCCAUCACAUCCAUGGCUGUCCGCGUGCCUGUCACUCACGGCCACAAAUGUGUAUUGACUUGUGAGAUCCUCAAAAUGAACCUUCAAAUCUGUGCUCGUCCCCACUUGAGAGAUCCAGAGAUGAGCGUAGAGAUAGGACACAACCUUCCCAAGGGAGCAGAGCCAAGAUUUGAACCAGGGCUGCUGGGUCCAUGAGCAAGGGCUUGAAAUCCAGUGCAGCACAGGCAUCUCCCUCAGCAGGCUCAGUGACAGGAGUUCCACUGGCUGGAGCAGAAAGGACCCUCCCCUUCAAAGCAGGACUCUGCCCUCGAGCCCUGAGCAGCCACUCUGGACAGGGUCCACGGAGGAAGGCAAUCCUCCAGUCCGCCAUGCUUCCUCUGACCUCUUCGCUGUCUCAGAUGGAACUGCAAGAAGAACCCAAACCAUCCAGGUCUCCCCUACUGCUGGGCCUUUGCAAAGCCUUCAGAGCAGCACAGCGGUGAUCUCCUGGGUCCCUCAGCUCCACGCCAUCAGCACAUGACCCAACAAACCUUGGGCCGCCAAGGAAAGUUCCUUCCCCAGAGUUAGCUCUGAGGCCAAUCACCCAAUUUCACACCUGAUUUCAUACCUUUUGUCCCUCCGCAGAGCCCCCUGCCUGCUCCCCAUUGUCCUUCCUGACACCAGCCUUGGUAUUUCCAGAAAUGUAUGCGGAGGCUCAAGGCUUGGAGGACUGGCUUCAUCAACGGGCUCUGGAAGGCUCUCUGACCCCAGUGGAACUUGGCUAUCUCUGUCUGUCCAGAUGUUACUCAAGCCCGGAACCUCCCCCCCAUUGUUAGCGGCUUCUCCUUCCCGCACAGGCUGUGGCCCCUCCUUCUCCCUCAACCUUGACCUCAGGCCAGCGCUGAGCUUUUCCCGACAGCCCUUGGGUUACUGUAGACAAGGCUCUAGUGCUCAAACUCUGGCUUGAGCUCAGAGGAGGGCCCAUUCUGGGCUUGAAAGUACCUGAUGUGGGGACCGCAGGCCACACUGGAGUGGUGAGGAGGGUCUCCUGUCACAGGCUGAGGAGCUGGCCCAGAGGCAGCCCUGGCCUCCUUGCCACUCCCCUGAAAUCAAUUCCUCAUCGGAGGGAACUUUCUAAAAUAAAAUGUUUAAAAUUGCCACAGACCUGCCCAGCUUAAAGCCUUUACAAGGCUGCUGUUGGCCCCAGCAUGAAACCCAAGGUCCUUUCCCUCCUGGCUGCCAAGGCCUCUGGCCACUUGCCCACCCCACCAGCCUCACCACACUCCCUUAGCCUUCCCUACUCUUGGGGAAGGGCAGGGCGGGGCGGGGGGGGCUACACUAAGUUCCAAAGUCAACCUGCACUUUUUCUUACCUCCAAGCCAUUGUUCAGCCUCCUACCUUGGUCUAGAACACUCCCUGCAUCUGACUUCUAUAUGUUUCUUCCUUCAGGAAGCCCUCCCUGAUGCCCCAUGCCCCCUCCAAGGAGUGCCCAGCAUCCAGAGCAACCUGCACCACAUCGUGUGCUGGAAACAUCCCUACCAUACUUCUCUGUCCUUGGACACUGCAUGUGGGCCUGUCAAUACACCACCUAGACCCCUCGGGUACCUUUCACCAUUUCUCAGCACUCUUCACCUGGCCUCUGUGAGUUUUUGCUUCUAAGAGUCUAUUGGGAAGAAAAUAUUCCCACUUUAUCAAACUAGAUCCUAGUUGUGGGGUAGAGGGCUGCAAAUUAACUGGCAAUGGACAGAUUCAAAGGAGAAAAAAUCAGUUGUACUCACUUGCCUGGGAAGACUGAAGAGCUAGGAAUCAGGGCUGCUAUAUCCACUUAAUAAACCGGGAGAACCUGGUGGGGCUAGGGCUGCUGCGGAGGCUCAGGAACCAGUCAGAAGCUUCCAACUUUCACCCACCAUGCCCGGCUCCCGGACCCCAUGCGGCUAGAUGUAAGCAAGAAGGAAACUAAUUUCACAAAUUUCGGCAUUUAUGAAGCUCGGCAGGCAACCCAGCAGGCAGCCACAAGUGAGGAACAAGGGCCCCUAGGCUGGGCUGCCUUCCAGGCAGGUCUCCUCGACACGGGCCACUGCAGUUCGCUCCUGAAGUGUAUCAGGGGAGCCCGGCUGUAUGUGGGGGACGGGGAGGGUGGGGUGCAGAGCUCAGCAUCCACCCACCUGGUGCUGCGGCUGCCACUCCACAAGUAGAAGGCUGGAUGCCUGCUGGGGCAGAAGGUGGAGUCCAGCCUGACCACUUUGUGGGGCUCAUCCUCGCCAGCCUUGGGGGCAGUGACAGGCUGCUAUGAGGCGCACCCCAGCCUGAGGAUCCCUCAGCCUCACUACUCCCAGGUCAAACCUAAAGGAGCAGGCCUGGCAAGUCCCUAAGCCUUCCAGCGACGUUCCCCUUCCCCAGGCUUGGCAGUGCCAGCCCACAAUUCAGUCAUAGGACACCAGGUGGGCUCCUUUCUUGCGGGCCUGGCACAGGCUGCUGAGAAGAAAUGGGCUCGCAGCCCGGAGGGGGGCUUAGAGCCUGGAGGAGUGGCCCAUCCCUUCCUUCAUACAACCAGGCUGUGGCUGGCUGUCCACAGAUGGCCAUCCUCAUGCUAUGAACUGAGUUCUGUAUUCCCCAAACUCAACAUGCUGAAGGCUUAACCCGAGGGACCUUGCAAUGGGACUGUACUUGGAGAUGAAGCCUUUAAAGGGGUAAUUACAUUAAAGAGAUGUUGUUAGGGUAAGCCCUCAUCCAAUAUGACUGGUAUCUUUGUGAGAAUAGAAUAAGACAUAGACACACACAGAGGUAAGACCACGUGAAGACUCAGAAGGAAGGCUGCCGUCUGCAAGCCAAGAAGAGAGGCCUCAGGGGAACCCAGCCUGCUGCACCUGCAUCUCAGACUUCCAGGCUCCUGAACUGGGAGGAUAUGAAUUUUUGUUUAAGCUGCCCAGUCUGCUGCCCCUUGUGAUAUCAGCCUGAGCAAACCAAUACACAUUGGCCCUGAUAGCUAAACUGAAAAGUGCAAUAAGGCCAUUUAAACCACAAAUACACGGUGGGGGUGCCCAGAUCCCAGAGCUGAGUCUCAGUUAUUUCACACAUCACAAAACUGAGGGUGCUGAGGGAGGGGGCCUCCCGAGGCCACACAACAACUUAGAGGGAACAUGAAACUGAAAGAAAUGGAUUCCCAGGGGAGGGCUCUUGCCUGACUCCCUCCCAGGAGAUCAUCAGAGGGUUUCCGGGAGCAUGAGGUUGCUGAGACCACAGACAGAGGUUGUUUCAUGGCUGAGUAAUGGAGUAGAAGCCAGGCGAGUAUGACACAUCAUCCCUCUUGACGGAAUUAGAACACAGAGCCCUGGAGUUCACGUCAUGCCCCGAUCCCAGAUUCAUGAUGGAAACUUGAACCUCACCCGCUUAUCUCUGAAGUGCAGAAACUUACAGUCCCUCCUCCAGGGAGAGUUGGGGGUUAAAUGAUAUAGUGAUGUACAAGUCUGUAAGCUGUAAGGCAAUGGAAAAAUGGAGGGUUUGUCCUUGGAUGAAGCUCCCACCCUGGACAGCAUGGAGAACCCAGGAGUCAGGCUGGGCUGCUGGCUCACAGCCAGGGACUCAGGUGGGAGAUUGAAAAAUCCAAGAGGCAAGAGGCAUCUGCAGCCCUGGAGCCAGUUCCAGAUUUGCCCUCAGGGCCGUAUCCCCGUAACCAUCACAGGGCUUGGCUCCUGAGAGAAAAUGCAGUCUUAAAGAAUGAACAAUUGUUGACUACUGCUUACUACAAUAAGCAUAGCUGCUACUCUAUCCAGCAAGAGGAAGCCACUACUCAGUGCUCCAGCCAAGGUUGUUCUCAAGCUUCUGUUCAUCUCAAACCUUUAUGAAGCACCCUCACCCACUGGCCUGUGCAGUGCCUAAGAGUGCACCCUGCAGUCAAAUCCCAGCUUGGCCUCGGAUGAGCUGUGAGGCUCUUGGUCAAUCCCAUUCCCUUUCUGGCAGUGCCUUGCAAAGGAGACAGCAUUGCAAAGACCCCAGGGGCUGAGUAAGCAGAGUCCUUUUGGAAAUCAGAGAAAAGGCCACAUAGCUGGGAGCCUUUGUGAAACUGGAGAGAUCACCAGGGCCAGACCCUCAGGGGCCUGGGGGCCCUUGAAAGGAAUCUGGUCUUGUUCCUAGAACAGAUGGCACUAAUUAUUUGACUUUGUUCAAGUCCCUGUCCUAUUCUGAGCUUCAGUUUUCUUAUCUGCAAAGGGCUCUGGACAGAACCAUCCAGGAUCCACCCUGACCCUGGGCCUUCAUGCCAGGUUAAGGAGAGAUAGGCCUCAUUCUGCAGGCAGAAUGAGUGUCUCCGGGAAAGGCCUUCUAGCUCCACCCUGCCCUGUCUGGCUCUGCAGACCACACAGAACUCUCAAGACAAUUGGUCACUACACUCAGGAGUUUCCCAUUUCUGCCAAGAAAAUCUGGAGAAGACAACGUCCCAUUUGAAUCAUGAGAUGUCCUCAACAGCACCUUCUAGAGUGGAGACCUUUGUGCUGCUGUGAGAGAGGGGCUUGCAGAAUGAUAUUGUCAGUCUAGGCAUGUUUCACACAGAGGAGAACUCAGGACAGGGGACAGGAAUGGAGGCAGGAAUUCAAUCUGUUAGAACAAGUUUUCAGAUGUGGUUAUGUUUCAGGGAUGUAGAAUCCUGUGCCUUCAGGAUUUCUGAGAUUGAAGAUAAUCCCGGAAAACAGAGCUGGCAGGCCCUGGAAUCAGCCCCAGGCCUAUUUGGAUAGGGGAUUCUGGGGUCCUGGUACCCAGAGCCUGGUCUAGACAGAAGGAGGUAGUGGGCUCUGGGUGGGCAAACCCACCUUGGCCCUUUCCCUUCCCUCAUCCUGUGGGGAGGGGCUCAGCUAGUGCAGGGUCAGAGGGCAUCUAAAGCAGGGGUUGCAUGGUAGGCAUCCCUCUUGCCCAGACCCAAGGGUGGCCCGGAUCACCACCUAGGCACAGCUGGGUGAUGAGUAUGGGCAGCUGGGUUUUGUUGCCACAUAAAAAUGCCUCAUUCCUCCUGGCCCUGAAGUGACUGUUCACUGAAAGAGGCAACCCUACUGAAUCACAGCCUGCUAUUUAUUACACAGUCAGUGAACAGCCUACAGUUCCAAUGCAUGAGAGGGCUUGGAAACCAAAUCAACCUUGGGAAAAGGAAAUGCAGAGGCCAAGGUCAAAACCCAUCCAUGGAAGUGGGAAGAAAGCAGGGCUGGCCUCAACCUUUUCACCAGUAGAGAGAUGGCCAUGUAAAGUAGUAAGUCUCCUGUGGAUGGAGUAUUCAAGAACAGGUAGAAUGUCUAUUUCUUAGGGGUUUGUAGAAAGAAUUCCUUGCACACAAAAGUACGUGAUUCUACAUCCCUGGAGCAUAACUAGGUCAGAAAACUUGUUGUAAUAGAUUGCGGUCCUGCCACCUCUCCUGUCCUCAUCCAGAGUUCUCCUCUGUGUGAAACAUGUCUAGACUGACAGUAUCAUUCUGCGUAAGCCCCUCUCACAGCAGAAAAAAGGUCUGCACCCUUGAAGGUGCUGUUGAGGACAUCUCAUGAUGCAAAUGAAGCAGCUGCUUGAAGGAGCCCUGGAGGAGCCUGGGCAGCAAGGCUGGGAUGCCCACAGGCAUGUGCCUUUCCAGAAAUGGGCAGGAAGUAGAAGGAAAAGAAAGGGAGUCAGGCGCAGGGCAGGGGUAGGGGCUGGGGUCUGCUUUCUCUACACUGCCAGGUUCUGAUGAGGACCUCCCAGGAGGGUGAAAAGCUGCAAACCCAAAUGGUUAAGAAGAUAUAUCUGUUAAUGUAGAACAUGUUAUAUUUACUAAGUAAUUGACUUGAUUUGCAACUUUAGGCAGACAUGGUAAGUGGACAUCAAUAUUAGUUUCCUGUUGCCACUGGAACAAAUGACCGAAACUUAGCACCUUCAAACAUACCUUUAUCAUCUUACAUUUCUGGAGGUCAGAAAUCCAAAAUGAGUCUCCCUGGGCUGAAUCUGGGUGUUGGCAGAGCGACGUUCCUUCUGGGGUCCUGGGGGAAGCCUGCUUUUUGUCUUUUCCAGUGUCUAGAUGCUGAAUCCAUUCUUUGGCUCAUAACCCCUUCCUGGGUCUUCAACGCUAGCAGUGUCAGGUCGAGUCUUUCUCAGACUGCCACCUCUGUUCUCCCUCUUGUGCCUCCCUACGUCAUUUAUCAAGACCCAGGGGAUUCCACAGGCCUACCCAGAUAGCCCAGGAUAAUCUACCCUCUUUAAAGUCAUCUGACUGGCAACCUUAAUCCCAUCUGCAUCCUCCAUGACCCCCCGCCAUGCAAGGUGACAUACAGGCACAGGGAUGAGGAGGUCUUCACAGGGCUAUUAUUGUGCCUACCACAACCUCCAUUUGGAUUCUUGUCCCAACCCUCACAAAAAUGAGGCAUAUAAUUUGUUGAAUUCUGAAUAAAAUGUUACCAGUGACUAGGAGUUAUUAUUUUUUCUUUAAAAAAAGAAAAACCUUCUCCUCCAGGUCUGGUUUUCUUUAGACCUCAGGACUGUGUACCUGAGAAGAUCUGCGGGCAUGAGUGUUUAUGUGAUUAUCUGGACAUAAUCAGAUUUCUGAUUGACAUUGUUGUAUUACUUUGGCUCCAGAUGCAGUAGCCUGAGAGCAGGAAUAAAAUCCCCUCCAGCUCUCUCAGUCUACCCUUUGCAGAGGGAGAAUUAAAUUGGGGCCACACAGCAGGCAGCACUAAUCCUCAGUCCACACAAAUCCUCACUUUCCAAUCAUUUCGAUGGAAGUCAUAAAAGAGCACUCUGGUAGGCAUUAUUACUUCAUUUUUUCAUCAAUUCAGCAAGUAUUGAUUGGGCACCUACCCUGUGCCAGUGAGGUUGGAGACACAAGGGUGAUGAACAGGGUACAUGUGCCUGGCCCUCAAUGGCCAGCUCUGUCACUGUAGGCAGGAGCUUUCCUUCCUGUGGGCUCCUGGGUUUUAUAAUCACAGGAGCACAUAGACAUCCAGCACAGAGCCCCGUUAUGGGGGCAGGGUCUGGCCUGCCUCCUUCACUGUUGUCUCCCAGUGCCUCAGAUGUAUAGUAGGUGCUCAUUCCUUAAAUGAAUGAAUAAAUGAAUGACCCUCCCUGAUCAGAGAGUUAAUGACUGUAUCAGUCCAACCAGAAAAGCAGAGGACAAGCCGAGAAAAGACCUGGCCAGUCUCUGCCACCAUGGCUGUGAGUGAGAGGAAUUCAGAUCGUGAGGUGGAUUCCUGGGGCGGUGGCUGCUGCUUACAAAGCGCUUUGCUGGUAUUCAUUAAGCCACAGGGCUCCCUUCCAAGUUUCCUGCUGUUAUCAUUCUCACUAUGUAAAUGAAGAAACUGAGGUACUGAGAUGAACUUGCUGAAGACCACACAGCUAGUAAGUAUCAGAGCUUGGAUGUAAACCUGAAUGCUCACUGAGGAGAGAACAGCUCACCUCUUUCCCUCAAAGGCACAUGUUCAGUCUUCCCAAAUCUCAUCCGGCAGCAAUUAAUGUCUCCCUUCCCACUAUCCCCCGCUCACUUCCCAUCUGCAGAGAUCUCAUUGGGUCUAAAUUAUCAGGGCCUACAGCCAGGCCAUGCUAAUGAGGUUGAAGAAGGUGGAAGGGCUGAAUCGGGCAACGUUGUUCCUUUAAUCCUAACUCUUUCAUCCUAAUUCAUCACUGCACCCUACCUGCCCACCCCCCCCACCUUGGGUGAAGAAAGUUUGAAUUGCCCAGCAUCCGGGAAGUUUGUGCUAAGUCAAGGGAAAUUGCUACACUGCUGUCUGUUUUGUUCAGUCCUUCAUAAGCAUGCAGCCUGACCUGGAGAAACUGACAGUUUAAAAUGUAUGGGGCAGCUCCCGCCCCACCCUUUACUACCCUUGACCACACUCCAAGCAGUAGCCAGUCGAUACUGUGGUCCAGGAAGUCUCCCUGCAGCUCAGCCAUCAGUCAUUACCUUUACUGGCAGGACAGGGACAGAACAGGGGAUGUUCUCCCCUUUUAUUUUGUGUAGUGAGGCUUAGAAAACUCUGUACCUAGAAAAAUCCAUUCCUGAAGGCUGUUGCUGUUGAGUAGUGCAGUGAGAUGGGUUUGAAGCAGUGAACUCUUUCAUAGGCUAUGUGAAUGUGGGCAAGUUGCAUUUUCUCUCUGAGUUCUCUGAGCUCAAGUCUUGCUUUGGGUAAUUUGUGCACUAACCUUUGACCUUUCUGACAAAAAGAAAAAACAAAAUCACAGUGCUGGGGACAGCUCCUGACGCUCCACCUCCUCUACUUCUUUUUUAGAUAGCAGGUUUUGCUCUGUUGCCCAGGCUGAGGUACAUUGGUGUGAUCAUAGCUUACUGCAGCCUUUAACUCCUGGCUGCAAGCAAUCCUCCCACCUCGGCCUCCCUAGUAAGUAGGACUACAGGCCUGUACUUCUAUUUUUAUUUAUUUAUUUUGCCGAUCUGGAAUACUUGCAUUUGUGUUUGCCUGUCCCAACCUUCUUCUUCUGCUGGGCCCAAGCAAUUCUCCUGCCUUGGCCUCCCAAAAUGCUCGGAUCACAGGCAUGAGCCACUACACCCAGCCUCAACUUCUCUCACUUUUAUCUUCUCCCCAGUUCUUGGUGAGGCAGGACCUGCCAUAUGUCCAGAUCCCCAUUUGUCCCCAGCAAUCUACCAAAUGGCUUAACUGGAUCCUCACGUCACUCCCCAGGGAUCCUGGCCAGGUCCUGACUGAACUGAGUUUCUUCUCUCUAUAUGCCCAAAGAGUAGUAGGUGUUCCUGCACUAAGCAGUGGCUUAAUUUAGGUUUUUUUUUAUUCUUCAGAUGUCUCUCCCAUUUGAUGUUUCACCCCUUGAAGCCCAGGUGAAUCUCUGUCUUCUAAUUCAUAUGAAUACUGCUGGUGCCUGACAUCACGUCUUGCUCAUAGAGUAGUAAUUCAAAAAUUUGACUUGAAUUCCCAUUUGGGAAUUCAGAUAAAAGCUGAGAAAGCUCCUACUGCAAGAGAGAAGCACACCACAAAGGGGACUAAGGGGAAGAAUUGGGAGGGGAGCAUUUAUUGACCCAAAUGACAGGACUGUGGGCACUCAUGUGUUCAAGUCACGUUUAGGAAUCAUUCUGUUUUCUUUAUGAAGCAGAUCCCACCUCUCAUUGUAAAGCUGGAAAUGCCACAUUCCCUCUGUCCCAGCCUCUCUUGCAGCUGUGAUGUGCAUAAAUGACCUAGAACCACUCGAUCAACCCUUCCACCCUAGAGCUUGAGUGGGAAGUCAUGGCUUGAAGAAUCAGGAGCCACACAGGACUCCAUUUGCGAAGGGAGUGGCACAAGGUGCCUCAGUGAUGUUGGCCACACAAGCCACCAUAUCAGUGCCAGUGGCCAAGGCAGGGGUGUCUUCACAGGGCCAGUUUCACCAUGUUAUUCCACAGGUGGCUCCUGGCCCAUAGCCUCCGAGUUGAUUUUAGUUUCUCAGAGAUUCAGUCGGCCAACUAAUGUCACUUAAUCAAUCCCGUUUCUGCUUGGAUGAGCUAGGCUCAGUGUUUGUUGCUUACAAAUGAGACCUCGACUGAGACAAGUUGUCAUGAGUUUCCAGUUGAAGUCAUCCUAUUCCCUCUCACUUCGAGGCCUUUGCACAUGUCAUUUCUUCCACCUGGAGCAGGCAUUCACCCUUCAUUUGUUACUGGAUGACUCCUACCCAUUCAUCCAAGAGUCAGGCUUGAAGGCUCCUCCCCUGAGAAGCCCUCCCAGAUUACCCCAAAUCUGGGCUCCCACACCACCCUGGAUGUUCCUCUUCAUAGCACCCUGACCCCAGAUUUUACUGUUUAUGUCUGUGUUUUCUCACUACUCUGCAAGCUGCAUGAGGAAAGAAGUGCCUCUAUUUUAUCAUGGCUGGUAGUUGUUAGCAUAGUUGUCCAGCCUAUUGACAUUGUUGAAUGGAUGGGUGGAUGGAAUCAUCUUAGGCCAGAGCAGUCCCCCACUAUCAUUGCCUGGUAGCAUGGGGCAGCUUCAGUUUUUGGACUAAGGACAAUUGCCCUGUUCCAGAAAACCCCAAAAUAGAGUUACCUCAUUUCACUUCUACCAGCAUGUCUUGUACAUCUGUUGUAUGCCAGGCCCCAUGUCCUCUUAUGCCCACAUCCAGAUCCUGCAGGUAGAAGCACAUUGCUGUGCUCCCUCUUCUCUGCCCAGCCAUGGAGGCCCUGGGGGCUUGGAGGAGUGACUACUUGCUCUCUGGGAGAAGCAUGGGCUGCAAGCCCCUUGAGUGGGCAGGUUGCCAUGGUGAUGCUUGCUAAUGGAGUUGCCUGAGGAACACUGACCAGCAAAAGGAACAAUUACCAGAGAAGGGCCAUUUCUUUAGCAAUUUUCAGGAAUGGGUAAGAGAAAAAGCCACAAGUGAAAAGGCACUGCAAACCAAUAAUAGUGUAUGAGUUGGUCUGAGCCAACCCAAGGCCUGUUUCCCACCCCUCUCUCUUCCCCUCUGAUUGUAGCAAAUAAAGCCAUACUUUUCAGUGAUUUAUAACUGUUCAAAAAUAGCUCAUUUUCAUACCUCCUUUUGUCUACCCAGCAUCCAUUAUACACCACGUCUUAAUAGAUACUUAAAAUAUACUCUAUAAUUAUGAAAACAAAUCUAUAUACAUAUGAGGAUACUGAAGCUCAGGGUAUGUGAGGGACCCAUCCAGGGGUACACAGCUGGGAAGCACAUUCAGCAGUUUGCUUGAUGCUUAAUUCAAGGAAGCGAAUUCUCUUUGUGCAGUUAACAUCAUCACAAUGACAAUUGCAGUGUCUCCAUGAGAAAGUGUUCUUGAAAAUGAGACACUAGCCCUCUCCUCUCUCAUCUACACAAUAUCCUAUUGCCUUCUAUUUAGAAGAGAGGUAGUGAGUUGGUUUAUUCACUCACUCUCCAUUUGUUCAUUCAUACACAUCUAAGGAACUCAAACUUCUAGGGCAAAACCAGCAAGCCCCGUACUGGACACUUUGCACUCAAAGUCAGCACACUUGAGAAGUAAGAGGAGCUUCCCCAUAGUUACUGAGCUUCUAGCUCUUAGUCCCAACUCCUGAAAAGUAGCUGUCCACUUCCAAACUGUGCUUUGGCCCCUGACAUUGCCACCCUGAGCUCCACACACCCUUGGACCACAGUUUUGUGAGGCCCAGAUGAGCACAGUAUGCAGGGUAGGGCCUGGCACUUGCAGGGCUCCAAGGAACCCAGAGGAAAAUGGCACAGGUCCUGAACCAGGCUGUUCAGGGCUGAACUCCUGCCCCACUUAGCAGCGGGAUGAUGAGCAAAUUGCUCGGCCUCUCUGUGCUUCAGUUUCCUCACCUACAACCUAGGGCUAAAAAAAAGAAGCACCUACUCUAUAGGAUCAUUGCCAUGAUUCAACACAACAAUCCACAUAAGGAACUUAGAACAGUGCUGGCUGUGUGUGUUAAAUGCUGAGUACACAUCAGCUGGGAUUAGAAGUAGCAGCAUGGCCAGGUGCUCCUGAGCAAUGGGUCAGCUCUUGCUGUGCUACCCUCAGGUCCCACCCUCCUUUGCAGUUUCUUCUCCUGCUUUGAUAACUAGAAGCAGUCGUAUAGGGCCUGGGGUCUCUACUCACAAGUCAAGAUGUCCAGUUCAGCCACUCCUGUCUGUCUUCCUUUCUUAGAGUCACUCUGUAGGCGUGUCUUGUGUAAAAUGUAAAUCAGACCAUGGCACUCCCUAACUGGAAACCCUUCCGUGGCUCCCUGUUACUCACCAUAGGCUAAAUUCCACCCGGACUCCUCUGAAGGGCUGGCGGGGCCUCCUGUGGUCUAGCUCCCACCUGCUGUCCACCCUCACCCCUCAUUCCUGCCCUGUAAACCCCUCGUAGCUCUCAGAUUUCAAGAAUUAAAGCUUUGACCCAGUUGUUCCCACCACCCCCACCCCCAAUCCCUAGAAACAGCUUCCCCUUUCUCUUUUCUGGCCAACUGCAAGGCUCCUUGAAGGCUCGGCUUUUGCAGGACAUCCCCUCUGGCCACACAGGAUCCCUCCAUUUUGUGGCUGAUAACAUCCUUCAGAUUGCAAGCUGAGCACUCAUCAUACCCCAUCAUGACGAUCUCCCCUGCAAAGCCAGGGGCUUUGAGAGGGCGGGAUGGUGGCUGACACAUUUGGUGCUCCAGUCUCGUCAUCUGACACUUGCCAUAGAGAAGGUGCUUAAUAUUUAGAAGAGCGUGUGUGAUUAUCAAGAGCCUGGAUAUGAAGAAGGGGAUCACGGCCUUGAAAAAGGACCAAAUGACAGGAGGUGGCCUGGUCCUCAUGGCCAGGCCCUUGUGGUCUCCUUGUUUCAACGAGCCAAUAAACCCAGCUCUGUUCAGCUGCAGGUAUGUUCCUGGUCUUUGUCUAAAGGGCAUUGACACCAUCCAGUUCCCAGAAACCUGAACUUCCAAAACAACAACAAAAAACUAAUCAGUUUCUGCAAACUAAUUGAUUAGUGAGAAAUGUAUUUCUGAUAGGGAGCACCAGUUGGAGUGGACAACCUUGAACAUUCUAGAUGUUUUCUGGAGAGAUGCUUCAGCUUCCCCUCCAUUGUGAGUGUGUGUGUGUGUGUGUGUGUGUGUGUGUGUGUGUGUGUACAGGGAAAGGAUGCAAGCUUUGCUGUCCUGGGUAUCCGUGACUGGGCAUGUCUCAUCUGAAGGGGCAUCAGCUAACAUUCCCUGAGAAAAGAAUGUUAUAAUUGGAUGAUGACAUCUGCUUCCAGAGGUAAGAGCAUGCAGCAUGGAGCAGACACUCUCUAUCCCAGGAGCUUCCCUGCCCAGGCAGUGGCUAGUGGCUAUUGUCAUGGAGUGGUAACCAUCUGCAAGGCCAUUCUCAAAAGUCCUGCUGAUAUCACUCCAAUCCAUGGACACCCCUGUGACUCCCAUCUCCAUUCCUCGGGCAUGCUUCCCAUGGAAAGACACGUGGUUGGUGGCAUUGGGGACUGAGAACAGAACAGAUUCAGGCUUUGAGUGUGGAUCAGAGCCACACUGUGUGGUGCUUGCAUCACUUCUGACAGUAGUUGGGUAAUGGGCCAAAUCACCCAAAAAAGAUAGAAUGCCAACAGAUGUUAGUUGAGGAAGAUGAUUAAUCUCUUUCUUCAAAAGCUCAGAGAAUCUUUAUUGGCAAGAUUAAAGUCAAGGUAAGGCUUCUCCUUAGCAACCAGAAAGCGCUUGGUGUGCGUGGCUGCAGAAUCCAAUAUGAAACUCAGAUGAUGAAGGUGACAAUGGGCACCUCCGAUUGUCCAUCGUAAAUUUCUGCCUGGAAUGCGGCUCGGCCUUAUACACGUCAGCAAAAGCUAGUGAAAGUUCCAGAGAGGGAUGUUAGGUCAGGCCUGAUGGAUGAGGAGGUUUCAUUUAAGGGCUCCUGUCACUUCCCAUCUUCAGGCCAAGCUGACAUCCAUGGCUGUAAAAUUGUCACCCUUCUCCUUUGCCUCUCAGGAGAGCCAAACUUCUGUAUGACACUUUUGAUCAAAUCUGUCUUUGCCCACUUCUCUCUCCGCCCGACUCCCCCCGCCUUUAUCCUGACAAAGAAGCGAACUGUUACCCUGCCAGUUAUUUAUCUAAGUAAUUUCUUGACGAAAUUGCAAAUAUAAUUGAAUUUUCUGAAAACCAGGAAUUCAAAUGAGGCGACGACAGAGGAAACAGCGUGAUUAAGGAAUUGUUAUUCACUCGUCGUACAUCAUUACCACCCAGAAUUCAUCUCCAGAUCAUUCACAGAUGGAGUGGCUGAACUAUGAUUAUAUUUCAGAAAAUGAAAGAGGACAAAUCUAAAAAGGCAAUAAAACAAAUUAGAAACCUU
Molecule: non-coding RNA, 20499 nt
Organism: Callithrix jacchus (white-tufted-ear marmoset)
Lineage: Eukaryota; Metazoa; Chordata; Mammalia; Primates; Cebidae
Source: RefSeq, a predicted model, not a curated record